RNAcentral lists this ribosomal RNA (1346 nucleotides) under uncultured bacterium. RNAcentral's name for it is "bacterial SSU rRNA". It matches the Rfam family "Bacterial small subunit ribosomal RNA", at positions 28 to 1381 of the family's 1533-position model. The record is from RNAcentral.
GACGAACGCUGGCGGCGUGCUUAACACAUGCAAGUCGAACGGAAAGGCCCUGCUUUUGUGGGGUGCUCGAGUGGCGAACGGGUGAGUAACACGUGAGUAACCUGCCCUUGACUUUGGGAUAACUUCAGGAAACUGGGGCUAAUACCGGAUAGGAGCUCCUGCUGCAUGGUGGGGGUUGGAAAGUUUCGGCGGUUGGGGAUGGACUCGCGGCUUAUCAGCUUGUUGGUGGGGUAGUGGCUUACCAAGGCUUUGACGGGUAGCCGGCCUGAGAGGGUGACCGGCCACAUUGGGACUGAGAUACGGCCCAGACUCCUACGGGAGGCAGCAGUGGGGAAUAUUGCACAAUGGGCGGAAGCCUGAUGCAGCAACGCCGCGUGCGGGAUGACGGCCUUCGGGUUGUAAACCGCUUUCGCCUGUGACGAAGCGUGAGUGACGGUAAUGGGUAAAGAAGCACCGGCUAACUACGUGCCAGCAGCCGCGGUGAUACGUAGGGUGCGAGCGUUGUCCGGAUUUAUUGGGCGUAAAGGGCUCGUAGGUGGUUGAUCGCGUCGGAAGUGUAAUCUUGGGGCUUAACCCUGAGCGUGCUUUCGAUACGGGUUGACUUGAGGAAGGUAGGGGAGAAUGGAAUUCCUGGUGGAGCGGUGGAAUGCGCAGAUAUCAGGAGGAACACCAGUGGCGAAGGCGGUUCUCUGGGCCUUUCCUGACGCUGAGGAGCGAAAGCGUGGGGAGCGAACAGGCUUAGAUACCCUAGUAGUCCACGCUGUAAACGGUGGGUACUAGGUGUGGGGUCCAUUCCACGGGUUCCGUGCCGUAGCUAACGCUUUAAGUACCCCGCCUGGGGAGUACGGCCGCAAGGCUAAAACUCAAAGGAAUUGACGGGGCCCCGCACAAGCGGCGGAGCAUGCGGAUUAAUUCGAUGCAACGCGUAGAACCUUACCUGGGUUUGACAUGGAUCGGGAGUGCUCAGAGAUGGGUGUGCCUCUUUUGGGGUCGGUUCACAGGUGGUGCAUGCCUGUCGUCAGCUCGUGUCGUGAGAUGUUGGGUUAAGUCCCGCAACGAGCGCAACCCUUGUUCACUGUUGCCAGCACGUUAUGGUGGGGACUCAGUGGAGACCGCCGGGGUCAACUCGGAGGAAGGUGGGGAUGACGUCAAGUCCUCAUGCCCCUUAUGUCCAGGGCUUCACGCAUGCUACAAUGGCUGGUACAGAGAGUGGCGAGCCUGUGAGGGUGAGCGAAUCUCGGAAAGCCGGUCUCAGUUCGGAUUGGGGUCUGCAACUCGACCUCAUGAAGUCGGAGUCGCUAGUAAUCGCAGAUCAGCAACGCUGCGGUGAAUACGUUCCCGGGGCU